GCCCCUGCAAGCAGGGAGGUUCCUUCUGUGUCCCCUUGGCCUUCGACACAUGCCUGCAUGUAGGCAGCCGAACUUAGGAUUGAGGCUGGGGAACCGGUUGUCUUUCUCUACUUGGUGACCUCCUCUGGGGGCAAGAGAUCAGAGAACUGUCUCCACCAUCUCCACCCCUUUCUCCUGGCCCAGACUCUUUCAAAGGGGAGGGUCUGUUUCCCUGACAGCCUGUGGUCCUUGGAGGUAGGGCAGGGGCAGCUGACCCCAGGGCCCAUUGCUCCCAGAUCACCUGGCUGCGCCCCUCCCACCUGCCAUCUCCAUGGCACCUGUGGAAUUGGCUCUGCCCUUGCCUGGCUUCCUGCCCAGCUCCAGGAGGCCACCCACCUGAGACAUCAAGGUGUCACAUGCCGAAGACAAACCAACUCCUACAGAAACUCCGCAGACAUUGACAAACUGGCGCCACACACAGGAGGAAACAAGAGCUUGUCAGGUGAGGCCUGAAGAGAGGCCCCUGCAUCUGGGCUGAGCCAGGGUCAGGAAAUGCUGCCCAGCAGGCAGCGGUGGCAGAGGCUCUGCUCAGCAGCCUCAUGUGCUGUGUGCCCCAGGGCCAGACCGCCUCCAUCUCCGGCCCUCAGGUUCCACCUGUGAAGGCAGCUGUCCAGCCACGUGGGCUGUGUCUUCCCAUCCCUGACCAGCCACCCAAGACGGGCCCACCCGGGAACCCGGUGGAGAAGCCUGGGGAGAGAACGUCCCUGCUCUGGGCCAAGCUGGGUACUCACGGCCACCGCGAGGGUCACCGAUGCCAGCUCCACCUUGCCCAGGUGCCCGCAGAACACAGUGCUCACGAUGUAGAUCAUAAAAGUCAGCACCUGGAACAGGAACUGGAGGACAGCGGCCAGGGAUGGCCUGUGACUCCCCCCUCAACCUGCCUCAAGACCAGCAGGGCAGUGGGAACCAAGAGAGGCAUCUAAGGAUUGCACCGGUCACCUAGCCCAGUCCUGGAUCAAGCUUUUGGGUGUGGUUCAGCCCAGGAGAAGGAGGAGUGAGCGAGGGGGGCAGGAAGACAGCAGGCAGGCUGGCCAGUGGCUGUGGGAGGGCUGAAGACAUCCCAAAGGCCCCACUUGGUUCCCAUGUCCACCCCUGCAGCGGAGGAGUGGCCGGCAGGAUUCCGAGAUGCAGCCCCCAGAGCCGCGAGGAGGAAGGAGCAGACCCUGAAGGAGAGGAGGCAGGACAAAUACAAAAAAAAAAAAAGGGUUUGCUACACCCAUGGGCGGCCCCAAACACAGGCACAGCCCCACCCCAGUCAACACGCAGCCUUCUUUUUUGACACAGAAUUCUGAAACGCUCCACUGGAUCCUCCCAGGAUCACCUGGGAGGUCACAUUCCUGCCCUUGUUCUGAUGGUUCUUAUCACAGCACUCUCCAACCUGUGCACCAAAUAGUACCUUUACCACCUGCCUAGAGGAAAGAAGACAUUUUAUCACCAUCGUGAUUGUGAUGAUGACACCAAACAGGAGGAAGUACAGGUGAAAGCUACAGCCCUGCAGGCCAGGCUAUUGCUAGUAUGUCUGACUUCCCUCCUCCAACACCUUCUCCACGUCCUUCUCACCUUUGGCCAGUUCUCAUGGUCAGCCUACCUCUUCCAAAAGGGCAGCCGCAAAUCCUCCUGCAUCCAGGGGACCUGGGCCUGGGGUCUCUGUUAUGUGAAACCAGCUGCUUCCAGCUGACAGGGCCUCUGGGGAGAGCAGUCACCUGCUGGCCUUGGCCUGUCACCUCCUGUCGCAGCAUUGCAGUGAGCCCUGCAGCCAGAAGCAAUACUUCUUGGGAGCCCAUGGCGAUGGGGGUGUUCAGGGAGCCCACACGUGGAGGUAUAGGCAGAAGAAUCCAUCUCACUCCAGGUCACUUUUAAUGAGGACAGCUGGUUCCCGUGCCCCCACCAAGCUGGAAGGUGUUCAGUGCAGACGCCCCGCCAUCAGCUCGGUGACAUCAGGCUUUAUCCAGAGCUGACCAGUGUUCAGCACUCAGCUGCACAGGACAAAGGUCGGGUCAUCUUCCCGAGGGCCAGUCCUAGGCCGAGCAUCUCCAAAAUCCCUUCUCAGGAACAUUCCCAGGAUUUUUGUGAUAGAAGCCAAUGCAUUCCUACAUUUUCUUCGGGAAGACACUCUCCUCCUACACUCCUCUCAGAAUUUCAAUCCCCAGACCCCAGUGGGUUUGACCCUGGGGAGGAGCAAGGGCGAUUACUGACUCCACUGCCAUGCAUUGGCCGCCCCAGGCAAAGGUGGUGCAGGCAGAGUGGGGGGUGGGGGGAAGCCACCUCCUCCAGGUGAGGGGUGUCAGAGCUCCGUGAGUCCUCCAUAGUCUCCUGGCAAUGCCUUCAGGCCCUCCUUUUGUGGUGGUAACUGCAGACUCAGCAGCACCGCCCUGCAGCCACCUGCAGACUCAGCUCCGAGUUGGGUUUUCCAGGAUUCUGCCCCGGAACCUGAGAUACUUUGAGCGGAGCUGCACAUGGCCCCUGUGCGCCAUCCUGUGGCUGGGGCGGGGGGAGCCUCCGAGACUUCAGCCUCUGCCCUCUCUCCAGAGCUUCCAAUGCUGUCAGGAGCAACAUGCCACCCUUCAGUCCUGCAUCUUCUGUGGUCUCAGAUACUGCACACAACAGACGGAUCAGCAGCUCACUCUCAGGAACAGGGCUGCCAAUCCCCUAGAAUAUACAAGCAAGUCCGGGCGAUGCUGGACCCUUUCCCUUCUCAGCUGAUCACUUGUUUCCAAGGCCCUUAUUUCCUGGGGCACAUGGCCUAUGACAUUCUCCCGAUGCCAGUUGCCGUGUCAGCCACGUUCUCUGAUGGAAACAGUAGAAACGAACUGGGAUCAUGUCAGCAGAUGGAAGAAGGGAGGAAGGGGGAGAGGAGAUCAUUAUUGCCAGGUGAUACAGAAGAGGGCUGAGCCGCCAGCCUUGAGAAGGGAGACUCUGGACUCUCAGGGUGAUUCAGGGAAAGGUGACUCAGCCCAAACACCUUCAGUCCCAGAGGCAAAUUCCUGGAAGACUGGGGCAAGAGCCAACCUGAACAAGAAUGGAGGUGGAAAGGGUGGGAAGGAGGGAAGCUGUGAGCUACCUGAAGUGGGGCAGGGGGCCCCCCAGAGGAUGGGAUGCUAUGAAAGUGAAAACAUGGCUACACACCCUGCCUCAUUUAUCUAUUACCAGCCCCCCCAAAAUUGGUGUCUUAAAACCAUUAUCAUCUGUGUCAUGAGUCUGUGCGGCGAGUUGGGUGGUCCUUCUGCCUCCCCUAGUCUAGCUGUGUCUGCAGUCACCGGGGACUGGCCCAGGCUGGCCAGUCUUCCAGGCUCAUGUCCAGGCCGCGGUGGGUGCCUGCUAUCAGCUGAGACUGUCAGUCGGAGCAUCUCCACCUCCCCUCAUAGGACCUCCUCAUGCACCACGGGCAUCUCAGCAUAAAGUGACCUCCCCGUGCACCACAGGCAUCUCAGCAUGGAGCGACCUCCCAACGCACCAUGGACAUCUCAGCAUAGAGUGACCUCCCCACGCACCAUGGGCAUCUCAGCAUGGAGCGAUCUCCCCGCGCACCACAGGCAUCUCAGUAUAGAGUGACCUCCCCACGCACCACGGGCAUCUCAGCAUAGAGUGACCUCCCCAUGCACCACGGGUAUCUCAGCAUGGAGCGACCUCCCCGUGCACCACGGGCAUCUCAGCAUGGAGUGACCUCCCCACGCACCACGGGCAUCUCAGCAUGGAGUGACCUCCCCGUGCACCACGGGCAUCUCAGCAUGGAGCUGGAACAGAAGACAGGACAUUCGAUGGUGCAAGUGGAAGCUGCAUACAGGUCAAGAGCCAGCCUGGGAGGUCCCCAUGCCCCUCUGCCUCAUCCUGUUGACCACAGCUAAUCAUGGACUCGCCCAAAUUUCACAGGAGAGGGAACAGCCUCCACUUCUAGGUGGGAGUGGCCGAGAGGCCAUGCCUUUAACCAGCACUCUCCUCUUCCUCCUUUCUAUUCCUCCCUCUCCAUUCUCUCUUCUGCUCUCUCUUGUGCCACCCGCUGUCCACACUUGGCCCCGAGCAAGGGCAAGCAGAUAAAGACCCCUGAGGUCAGUGAUGAGAGGACUCACGCAUAUCGAGGACCUCUUUGGGGAAGGAGGACCCAAAGCUACAAAAUCCUAGGAAUGGCAGGAGGCACGGGGAGAGGCAAGGGAGUGGAGAGUCCUGGCAAGCCCCCAGCACACACCCUGGGAUUAGGGAGGCUCCCAGCCAGCAAGAGGAAGCUUGACCCAGGGGGAGCUGCUCCCCCAGCCCCAGCAGCCUCGCUGAGGCAGAGCCAAGAGGCAUGUGGGCAUGCCAGGAAGUCCCCCUCACUUGAGGGCUCAGCUCCUGCAGGCUCGGAGCCUGCUGGGGGCAAGGGCCAGGUCCUUGGGCCCUGCCUUCACGUGACUAAUUUCCUGGAGUCCUGCCAAGUACAGUCUGGGUCCAGGGCCUCUGUUAACCUUUUCUCACUUGGUUACACCUCACUGGGCCCAAAGGUGUUGCAUUUGCCCUUUGGCUCCCAGAGACAUGCACCACAAGGGCUGUGGACCAAUGUCCUUUCCUCUAACCCCUCUCCGCUGCCUCCUGACUGCAAAACACCCAUUUCUCCCUUGGGAGGGUGGGGACUCUGGCUGAUGGCUCAGCCCCACAUUCAGGGCAAAGGACAGUUGGGGAGGAUUGAGCUGUCCGCCCCCUGCCUCGUCCCCCAGGUCUCCCACCAGACAGUGACCAACAACUGCUAAAUCCCUGAGGCGCCCCUCCUCCACUCCUCCUCAACUGUCUCAUAGAUUUUGGCAGCUGCCUCUCUCUCUCUGCCUCCACCUAGUACCCUCUCCCUCCAUCCCUCACCCCUUCCUAUCUUCCUCUCUCCCUCCUCCCGCAAGGUCUCCCUGGGCACCUUCCAGGCCCAGGUGCUGCACCCCUAGAAAUGACCAGGGCUCAGUCCCUGAGCUGACAUCACCCCUCCCAAUCCUGCAGGCCAGGGGAGAGACAGAGCCAGCUGGCAAAGCCCUCAGCAAGUGGCGGCAAGACCCCCAGAAGACACUGCCAAGUGCUGGAAGAUGGUGGGCCUUUCCAUCUGGAGAAAAGCUACGAUAAAUAAAAAUAAAUAUUACUCAUCAAUAAAAAGAAAUGAGCUAUCAAGCCACAAAAAGAUAUGGAGCAACCUCAAAUGCAUAUUGCUAAUCUAAUUGGAAGAAGCCAGUCUGAAAAGGCUGCAUACUGUACAAUUCCAACUCUAUGAUAUUCUGCAAAAGGCAAAACUAUAGAAACAGUAAGAUCAGUGGUUGCUGUGGGGGUUCGGGAUGAACAGGUGGAGCACAGAGGAGUUUUAGGGCAGAGACACUAUUCUGUAGGAUCCUGUAAUGGUGGAUACCUCGCAUUAUUUCUGCAAACCCAUAGGAUGUACAACACCACUAGUGAACUCUAAUGUAAAUUAUGGACUUUAGUUCAUAAUAGUGUGUCAAUACUUGUUAAUCAGUGGUAACAAACGUACUACUAUCCUCAUGCAAGAUGUCAAUGGGGAAACUGGUGGGGAGGUGGGGGUGGAGGUCACGAGGUCACUGCAAACUCUGUUCUUUCUGUGCAAUUCUGUAAAUGUAAACCUCUAAAACAGAAAGUCUAUUUUUUAAAAUGGUACACAAAAUAAUAACAACGGGGCAUUUCUUGAGAUCUCUAGGGAACAUGUCCCCCUCUUGCCCAUGCAUUUCAUGUUGGAUCCAGAAUGCAGCAGCAGCACUUUUCACAGUUGCCAAAAACUGUGGCAAGCUCAAAUGUCCAUGCACUGAUGAAAGGAAUCGCAAGAUGUGGAAUAUCCAAUAAUGGAAUAUUAUUCAGCCAUAAAAAGAAAUGCAGUAUUGAUCCACUAAAAACAUGGAUGAACUUUGAAAACAUGAUGCUAUGUGAAAGCAGCCAAUCACAAAAGGUCA
This is a long non-coding RNA of Homo sapiens (human), 5945 nucleotides long. RefSeq lists it as uncharacterized. NCBI's taxonomy places the organism in Eukaryota, Metazoa, Chordata, Mammalia, Primates, Hominidae. The record is from RefSeq and is a predicted model, not a curated record. The transcript has 2 exons.